UGAGGAAUAUUGCACAAUGGGCGAAAGCCUGAUGCAGCGACGCCGCGUGAAGGAUGAAGGUCUUCGGAUUGUAAACUUCUGUUAAAUGGGAAAAAAGAGUCUUCCUGAAUAGGGAAGAAAGAUGAUGGUACCAUUAGAGAAAGCACCGGCUAACUUCGUGCCAGCAGCCGCGGUAAUACGAGGGGUGCAAGCGUUAUUCGGAUUUAUUGGGCGUAAAGGGUUUGUAGGCGGUCUGUUAAGUCAUUUAUUAAAUGCCCUAGCUUAACUAGGGAGAUGUGAGUGAAACUGGGAGACUAGAGGAUGGAAGAGAGAAGUGGAAUUCUCGGAGUAGCGGUAAAAUGCGUAGAUCUCGAGAGGAACACCGAUGGCGAAGGCAGCUUCUUGGUCCAUAUCUGACGCUGAAAAACGAAAGCGUGGGGAGCAAACAGG
RNAcentral lists this ribosomal RNA (429 nucleotides) under uncultured bacterium. RNAcentral's name for it is "bacterial SSU rRNA". It matches the Rfam family "Bacterial small subunit ribosomal RNA", at positions 355 to 776 of the family's 1533-position model. The record is from RNAcentral.